AUUGAACGCUGGCGGCAGGCCUAACACAUGCAAGUCGAACGGUAACAGGAAGAAGCUUGCUUCUUUGCUGACGAGCGGCGGACGGGUGAGUAAUGUCUGGGAAACUGCCUGAUGGAGGGGGAUAACUACUGGAAACGGUAGCUAAUACCGCAUAACGUCGCAAGACCAAAGAGGGGGACCUUCGGGCCUCUUGCCAUCGGAUGUGCCCAGAUGGGAUUAGCUAGUAGGUGGGGUAACGGCUCACCUAGGCGACGAUCCCUAGCUGGUCUGAGAGGAUGACCAGCCACACUGGAACUGAGACACGGUCCAGACUCCUACGGGAGGCAGCAGUGGGGAAUAUUGCACAAUGGGCGCAAGCCUGAUGCAGCCAUGCCGCGUGUAUGAAGAAGGCCUUCGGGUUGUAAAGUACUUUCAGCGGGGAGGAAGGGAGUAAAGUUAAUACCUUUGCUCAUUGACGUUACCCGCAGAAGAAACACCGGCUAACUCCGU
Molecule: ribosomal RNA, 489 nt
Filed under: uncultured bacterium
Lineage: Bacteria
Description: partial 16S ribosomal RNA
Rfam family: Bacterial small subunit ribosomal RNA
Source: RNAcentral